UAGUAAGGAUUGACAGACUGAGAGCUCUUCCUUGAUUCUAUGGGUGGUGGUGCAUGGCCGUUCUUAGUUGGUGGAGCGAUUUGUCUGGUUAAUUCUGUUAACGAACGAGACCUUAGCCUGCUAACUAGCUACACGGAGGUGAGCCUACGGAAGGAUCAUUGUCGAAACCUGCCUAGCAGAAUGACCCGUAAACGCGUUGCAAACAACACCGGAGGUGGUGCGGGUGCAUCCUCGCCUCUCGCCACCCCCGUGUCUCGGAGCAGUCGAUCUCGUCGUCCCU
Molecule: non-coding RNA, 280 nt
Organism: Gossypium raimondii (Peruvian cotton)
Lineage: Eukaryota; Viridiplantae; Streptophyta; Magnoliopsida; Malvales; Malvaceae
Source: Rfam